This 1175-nucleotide ribosomal RNA is filed under the name metagenome. RNAcentral describes it as "bacterial SSU rRNA". It matches the Rfam family "Bacterial small subunit ribosomal RNA", at positions 299 to 1499 of the family's 1533-position model. The record is from RNAcentral.
GUUGAACGGCCACAUUGGGACUGAGACACGGCCCAGACUCCUACGGGAGGCAGCAGUGGGGAAUAUUGCACAAUGGGGGAAACCCUGAUGCAGCGACGCCGCGUGUAGGAAGAAGGUCUUCGGAUUGUAAACUCCUGUUGUUGAGGAAGAUAAUGACGGUACUCAACAAGGAAGUGACGGCUAACUACGUGCCAGCAGCCGCGGUAAAACGUAGGUCACAAGCGUUGUCCGGAAUUACUGGGUGUAAAGGGAGCGCAGGCGGGAAGACAAGUUGGAAGUGAAAUCCAUGGGCUCAACCCAUGAACUGCUUUCAAAACUGUUUUUCUUGAGUAGUGCAGAGGUAGGCGGAAUUCCCGGUGUAGCGGUGGAAUGCGUAGAUAUCGGGAGGAACACCAGUGGCGAAGGCGGCCUACUGGGCACCAACUGACGCUGAGGCUCGAAAGUGUGGGUAGCAAACAGGAUUAGAUACCCUGGUAGUCCACACCGUAAACGAUGAUUACUAGGUGUUGGAGGAUUGAUCCCUUCAGUGCCGCAGUUAACACAAUAAGUAAUCCACCUGGGGAGUACGACCGCAAGGUUGAAACUCAAAGGAAUUGACGGGGGCCCGCACAAGCAGUGGAGUAUGUGGUUUAAUUCGACGCAACGCGAAGAACCUUACCAAGUCUUGACAUCCUGCGACGGACAUAGAAAUAUGUUUUUCCUUCGGGACGCAGAGACAGGUGGUGCAUGGUUGUCGUCAGCUCGUGUCGUGAGAUGUUGGGUUAAGUCCCGCAACGAGCGCAACCCUUAUGGUCAGUUACUACGCAAGAGGACUCUGGCCAGACUGCCGUUGACAAAACGGAGGAAGGUGGGGAUGACGUCAAAUCAUCAUGCCCUUUAUGACUUGGGCUACACACGUACUACAAUGGCGUUAAACAAAGAGAAGCAAGACCGCGAGGUGGAGCAAAACUCAGAAACAACGUCCCAGUUCGGACUGCAGGCUGCAACUCGCCUGCACGAAGUCGGAAUUGCUAGUAAUCGUGGAUCAGCAUGCCACGGUGAAUACGUUCCCGGGCCUUGUACACACCGCCCGUCACACCAUGAGAGCCGGGGGGACCCGAAGUCGGUAGUCUAACCGCAAGGAGGACGCCGCCGAAGGUAAAACUGGUGAUUGGGGUGAAGUCGUAACAAGGUAG